Chenopodium quinoa (quinoa) is the source of this 1862-nucleotide long non-coding RNA. RefSeq lists it as uncharacterized. The record is from RefSeq and is a predicted model, not a curated record. NCBI's taxonomy places the organism in Eukaryota, Viridiplantae, Streptophyta, Magnoliopsida, Caryophyllales, Amaranthaceae. The transcript is spliced from 3 exons.
UAUAGACAUAUAGUCAUAAUCAUAUUACAAUUGUUUGUUAGCUUUUUCCAUUUAAAAGUUACUACAAACAAAGAUGAGUAUAGACGUAUAGUCAUAAUCAUAUUACAAUUGUUUACAAGGGAGCCCUUAUUUUUAAAUGCUAAAAGACAAAAACAUCUGUGAUAUUUUUUCCAAGUUCCUCUUGGAUUUCGUGAUUGUUUACAAAAAAAAAAGAAAAAAAAAAUACUGAAUUACUGAGAAAUAUUCCUCUCUCCUGCUUUCUCAUCGAAGCCUACUCCACAAUCUCCAUUGAAGCAGCUUCUGAGAGAGGGAUUUAAGAGAGAGAAAAUUCGCAUCAAAGUUCAAAGAUGCAUUCUUUUGCAAACAGAGCUACUGCGCUGCUAACUCUAGCAGUCACCAUUCUUGCAAUCACGUGCGCUGCCGCUUCUAUUUUCGACAAUUUCAAUUCCCCUUCUCCUAUUGCCAACAUUAAGGUGGCCAACAUUCAUAGAUUUCAAAAACUCUCCAGGCAAUUGCGAGGUAAUUUUUUUAAUCUAAUUUACUAGGUCUUUAAUUUUGUUUUAGGGUUUUCUUAUUUAAUGCGAAGUAUGAAUUUUACAUCUGGGUAAUUGAUGUGCAUUUCUUUGAAGUAAUUUUUUUUACAAAAAUCCGUUCUAGUCUGCGUUUUUAUAUGAUUGCAUUUGAGGGUUUAUGUAUAUAAUUUUUAAGUUGAUUUUGCUAAUGCAGUUCUAUAUGAAUUUAUAAAGGUGUAAUAAUAUGCAUAUAUUUUACAAAUGAUUUACUGCACAAUGCUAUAUAAAAAGUGUGGUCGAGCUGCAUUUAUAUAAUGUUAUUAGUUUAUUACUAAAAGCUAGUUUGGUCACUGUAACUGAUCAAUUGCAGUGCAAUUGCCCUUACAUGUUUGAGAACUCGAGGUAUUGUAACGUAGUAAUUUUACCCUCUAGUUAUGUAUUAGGAAGGAUAUGCUUGCACAAUCAAAGAUUGAUAAUGUUCUUCUUAUGAUAUUUGUAGCGACCCUCUCGCACCUUGUUGAUCCAUGUUAAGGAUCAUUGAUGGAAUUUCAGGGUGGUCUUCAACGAUCAUCAAGGCUAGGUGUGGAUUAAGUAAAUUGAACGUUGUGUUCUUGAUAUGUUCAUUUUAUAUGGUGUUUUACCCCCGUCACUUGGUCAUAUUUGAGAGUAUUCUUGGCUCUUUAGAGACACUCUUAUUACUAAUAUGUGUUUUCUAGUGUUUUCGUAGAUUUGGCAUUGUUUUAUAGGAUGUUGCAGAUUUGGAGCAUUUUCCUAGACUUAUUUGAGCCACUACGAGCAUUAGAGUAGGAUCACAUUCAUAUGACCACAUUCCGAAGCCCAAGGCCGGUUAGAGUUAUCAAACCGGUGAUUAAGGGCUCAGUGAAAAAGAAGAGUUCGAGGCAAUGGGCCGAGCUUUAAGGCCCCAAAGAGGAAAUGCGAAUCGGACUAAGAAAUAGCCUAAUUGAAGAAGUCCAUGAUGCCCAAGAGCUCGUCCGACCGGGGAGUGCCCUCGCCUUAAGGGGCGCCCGGUCGGGUCAGAAGGAAGGGAAGCAGUCCUUCUCCUUGUCUCGCGCCCGACCGGGCGCGAGUGAAGAUCAUCUCACCAAAAAUGCGGGCCCGGCUGUGCAAAGCUUCGCCCGACCGGGCGUGUGUUUUUAGGAGGAUUUCGACGAUUAUAAUUUGUUUUUAUAUAGGAUUUUUGUGCUUAAGUAUAAAUAUGUUUUAGUUAAGUUAGAUAGGGGGAUGUCUUCUCAUUAGUUAAUUCUCAGUUUUUAGUUUUAGGCUUUUAGUUAAUACUCUUAUUAUCUCUCUCUACACCAUGAGUUUUAUGCAAUUCAUUAUUUCCAUUUA